GAUGAACGCUGGCGGCGUGCCUAAUACAUGCAAGUCGAGCGAACAGACGAGGAGCUUGCUCCUCUGACGUUAGCGGCGGACGGGUGAGUAACACGUGGAUAACCUACCUAUAAGACUGGGAUAACUUCGGGAAACCGGAGCUAAUACCGGAUAAUAUAUUGAACCGCAUGGUUCAAUAGUGAAAGACGGUUUUGCUGUCACUUAUAGAUGGAUCCGCGCCGCAUUAGCUAGUUGGUAAGGUAACGGCUUACCAAGGCAACGAUGCGUAGCCGACCUGAGAGGGUGAUCGGCCACACUGGAACUGAGCCACGGUCCAGACUCCUACGGGAGGCAGCAGUAGGGAAUCUUCCGCAAUGGGCGAAAGCCUGACGGAGCAACGCCGCGUGAGUGAUGAAGGUCUUCGGAUCGUAAAACUCUGUCAUUAGGGAAGAACAAAUGUGUAAGUAACUAUGCACGUCUUGACGGUACCUAAUCAGAAAGCCACGGCUAACUACGUG
This 497-nucleotide ribosomal RNA is filed under the name uncultured bacterium. Its description in RNAcentral is "partial 16S ribosomal RNA". It matches the Rfam family "Bacterial small subunit ribosomal RNA", at positions 28 to 507 of the family's 1533-position model. The record is from RNAcentral.